Molecule: ribosomal RNA, 426 nt
Filed under: uncultured Paraglomeraceae
Lineage: Eukaryota; Fungi; Glomeromycota; Glomeromycetes; Paraglomerales
Description: SSU rRNA
Rfam family: Eukaryotic small subunit ribosomal RNA
Source: RNAcentral
GGGAGGUAGUGACAAUAAAUAACAAUACGGGGUCCUUUCGGGUCUCGUAAUUGGAAUGAGUACAAUUUAAAUCUCUUAACGAGGAACAAUUGGAGGGCAAGUCUGGUGCCAGCAGCCGCGGUAAUUCCAGCUCCAAUAGCGUAUAUUAAAGUUGUUGCAGUUAAAAAGCUCGUAGUUGAACCUUAGGCCCGUGCGGGCGGUCCGUCCUCUGGGCGAGCACUGCUCCGUCGCGGGUCUCACCUUCUGGCGAGCGUGGAUGCCAUUUAUUUGGUGUCCGCGGGAACCAGGACCUUUACCUUGAAAAAAUUAGAGUGCUCAAAGCGGGCUCCGACGCUUGAAUACAUUAGCAUGGAAUAAUGAAAUAGGACGAUGGUUCUAUUUUGUUGGUUUCCGGGACGGUCGUAAUGAUUAAUAGGGAUAGUUGGG